RNAcentral lists this long non-coding RNA (390 nucleotides) under Oryza brachyantha (malo sina). RNAcentral describes it as "long non-coding RNA (OBRA_LNC000545)". The record is from RNAcentral. Lineage: Eukaryota; Viridiplantae; Streptophyta; Magnoliopsida; Poales; Poaceae.
CCCUUUAUUGUAUUGCAUACAUAACAUUAUUUAUAACGCUUCACAAUAUUGCAUCAGAAGCCACACACACGCACACACACGGAGCACUGGCACACGCACGUACGUAUGCACAGCCUUGCAAGAGCGCAUCACACAGUUACCAGAGUGUACCCAGCAGCAUGUUUUAAUUCUCUCUCCAAGAUCAGCUAGCCGUACGUGCAUGCAUCAGUACACGUACACUUAUUACACUGUUAAGUGUUAUACACGCGUACGUACGUACUCAUACGUGUAUUCUUUAUUGGCAAAACGUAUACAUACAUAUAUAUAGAUAUAUAGUUAAUUUGUCGGCGAUCGAUCGAUCUUGUAUGCUGUGUUGGAGUGGAGCUCCGGCUAACAGCACCGGAGGCACUG